Molecule: ribosomal RNA, 253 nt
Filed under: uncultured bacterium
Lineage: Bacteria
Description: partial 16S ribosomal RNA
Rfam family: Bacterial small subunit ribosomal RNA
Source: RNAcentral
UACGGGGGGGGUAAGCGUUGUUCGGAAUUACUGGGCGUAAAGGGCUCGUAGGCGGCCAACUAAGUCAGACGUGAAAUCCCUCAGCUUAACUGGGGAACUGCGUCUGAUACUGGAUGGCUUGGAUUCGGGAGAGGAAUGCGGAAUUCCACGUGUAGCGGUGAAAUGCGUAGAGAUGUGGAGGAACACCGAUGGCGAAGGCAGCCUUCUGGGCCAACACUGACGCUCAUGCACGAAAGCGUGGGGAGCAAACAGG